Molecule: non-coding RNA, 33 nt
Organism: Bacteroidetes bacterium GWA2_32_17
Lineage: Bacteria; Pseudomonadati; Bacteroidota
Source: Rfam
AACAGGGAAGCCGAAAACUGUAGAGAGUAGGCA